Molecule: ribosomal RNA, 253 nt
Filed under: uncultured bacterium
Lineage: Bacteria
Description: partial 16S ribosomal RNA
Rfam family: Bacterial small subunit ribosomal RNA
Source: RNAcentral
UACGGGGGGGGCAAGCGUUGUUCGGAAUUACUGGGCGUAAAGGGCUCGUAGGUGGCCAACUAAGUCGGACGUGAAAUCCCUCGGCUUAACCGGGGAACUGCAUCCGAUACUGGAUGGCUUGAGUUCGGGAGAGGGAUGCGGAAUUCCAGGUGUAGCGGUGAAAUGCGUAGAUAUCUGGAGGAACAUCGGUGGCGAAGGCGGCAUCCUGGACCGACACUGACGCUGAGGAGCGAAAGCCAGGGGAGCAAACGGG